CGAAGUGGGGUUUUUACAGUAAUUAAUUUAAUUAGCAGUUCAUUGUUUACCCAUUUUCAUGUUAACUAGUUUUAGGCUUUUAGGGCCCUCUGAUCAAAAGCAGUUGAACUGAAUUUUUUUGAUACGUUUUAUAUAUUGAGCCUAAACAAACCCAUUUCUCCAUGCUUACUCUUUUGUCCCCUGUUCAACACUCUGUAGUAGUCUAUCUAUAUGUGGAAACACACACAAUCUCUCUCUCUCUCUUACAGGGAAAAAAGUGGGGUUUUAUACGAGGUUUUGUAAUCUACUAAUUUCU
This 295-nucleotide long non-coding RNA is filed under the name Panax ginseng (ginseng). RNAcentral describes it as "long non-coding RNA (PGIN_LNC009862)". The record is from RNAcentral. Lineage: Eukaryota; Viridiplantae; Streptophyta; Magnoliopsida; Apiales; Araliaceae.